AUGGCGGGCGCCACCGCCGCCGCUCCGAUGGACAUCGACGGCGCCGCCGCCGCGCCCCCGGCCUUCAAGGGCAAGGCGCCGCUCUCCGCCGCCGCCGCCGUCAAGUCCUCGCCCUGGGUCGAGAAGUACCGGCCCCAGUCCCUCGCCGACGUCGCCGCCCACCGCGACAUCGUCGACACCAUUGAUAGGCUUACAGAUGAGAAUAGGCUUCCACAUUUGUUGCUCUACGGUCCACCUGGCACUGGGAAAACAUCAACAAUACUAGCUGUCGCGAGGAAGAUAUAUGGCUCACAGUAUGGCAACAUGAUUCUGGAGCUCAAUGCAUCAGAUGAACGUGGAAUUGGUGUUGUCAGGCAGCAGAUACAGGACUUUGCUAGUGCACACAGCCUCUCUUUUGGAGCAAAGCCUGCUGUUAAGUUGGUCCUCUUGGAUGAAGCAGAUGCCAUGACCAAGGAUGCACAAUUUGCAUUGCGAAGAGUCAUUGAGAAGUAUACAAGGAGCACAAGGUUUGCACUCAUAUGCAAUCAUGUGAACAAAAUCAUCCCAGCACUGCAAUCAAGGUGCACUAGGUUUAGGUUUGCUCCACUUGAUGGCUCUCAUGUUACUGAGCGUCUUCGACAUAUAAUAAAAUCUGAGGGGCUUGAUGUAGAUGAGGGUGGCUUGACUGCCCUUGUUCGGUUAAGUAAUGGUGACAUGAGGAAGUCUUUGAAUAUAUUGCAGUCAACACACAUGGCAUCCCAGCAAAUAACAGAAGAAGCUGUCUACCUUUGCACGGGAAACCCCAUGCCUAAAGAUAUUGAGCAGAUAGCGUUUUGGUUACUAAAUGAACCAUUUUCAACCAGCUUCAAACAUAUAGCUGAUAUGAAGAUGAGAAAAGGUCUGGCCUUGAUUGAUNNNNNNNNNNNNNNNNNNNNGUUUGUGUUCAAAAUAAAAAUGCCAUCCAAUGUACGAGUAAAGUUGAUCAAUGAUUUGGCAGAUAUCGAGUAUCGGCUUACCUUUGCUUGCAACGAUAAACUGCAGCUUGGGGCACUGAUCUCGACUUUCACGACUGCUCGCACGGCUAUGGUUGCUGCCGCCGACUAA
This 1083-nucleotide ribosomal RNA is filed under the name Triticum aestivum (bread wheat). Its description in RNAcentral is "partial small subunit ribosomal RNA". The record is from RNAcentral. Lineage: Eukaryota; Viridiplantae; Streptophyta; Magnoliopsida; Poales; Poaceae.